AUACAGAGGGUGCGAGCGUUAAUCGGAAUUACGGGGCGUAAAGCGCGCGUAGGCGGCUUAUUAAGUCAGAUGUGAAAUCCCCGGGCUCAACCUGGGAACUGCAUCUGAUACUGGUAAGCUAGAGUUUUGGAGAGGGAAGUAGAAUUUCAGGUGUAGCGGUGAAAUGCAUAGAGAUCUGAAGGAAUACCAGUGGCGAAGGCGACUUCCUGGCCAAAAACUGACGCUGAGGUGCGAAAGCGUGGGCAGCAAACGGGAUUAGAAACCCUAGUAGUCC
This 274-nucleotide ribosomal RNA is filed under the name uncultured bacterium. RNAcentral describes it as "partial 16S ribosomal RNA". It matches the Rfam family "Bacterial small subunit ribosomal RNA", at positions 523 to 796 of the family's 1533-position model. The record is from RNAcentral.